GGGAGUAUGCCGGAGUGGUCAAACGGGGCAGACUGUAAAUCUGCUGGCUUAUGCCUUCAUUGGUUCGAAUCCAAUUGCUCCCA
RNAcentral lists this transfer RNA (83 nucleotides) under Phycisphaerales bacterium. Its description in RNAcentral is "tRNA-Tyr". It matches the Rfam family "tRNA". Rfam says of the family: Transfer RNA (tRNA) molecules are approximately 80 nucleotides in length. Their secondary structure includes four short double-helical elements and three loops (D, anti-codon, and T loops). Further hydrogen bonds mediate the characteristic L-shaped molecular structure. tRNAs have two regions of fundamental functional importance: the anti-codon, which is responsible for specific mRNA codon recognition, and the 3' end, to which the tRNAs corresponding amino acid is attached (by aminoacyl-tRNA synthetases). tRNAs cope with the degeneracy of the genetic code in two manners: having more than one tRNA (with a specific anti-codon) for a particular amino acid; and 'wobble' base-pairing, i.e. permitting non-standard base-pairing at the 3rd anti-codon position. Lineage: Bacteria; Pseudomonadati; Planctomycetota; Phycisphaerae; Phycisphaerales. The record is from RNAcentral.